GAUGAACGCUGGCGGCGUGCCUAAUACAAGUAAGUCGAGCUAACGGACGAGAAUCUUUCUUCUCUUAUGUUAGCGGCGGACGGGUGAGUAACACGUGGAUAACCUACCUAUAAGACUGGGAUAACUUCGGGAAACCGUAGCUAAGACCGGAUAAUAUUUUGAACCGCAUGGUUCAAAAGUGAAAGACGGUCUUGCUGUCACUUAUAGAUGGAUCCGCGCUGCAUUAGCUAGUUGGUAAGGUAACGGCUUACCAAGGCAACGAUGCAUAGCCGACCUGAGAGGGUGAUCGGCCACACUGGAACUGAGACACGGUCCAGACUACUACGGGAGGCAGCAGUAGGGAAUCUUCCGCAAUGGGCGAAAGCCUGACGGAGCAACGACGCGUGAGUGAUGAAGGUAUUCGGAUCGUAAAACUCUGUUAUUAGGGAAGAACAUAUGUGUAAGUAACUGUGCACAUCUUGACGGUACCUAAUCAGAAAGCCACGGCUAACUACGUG
Molecule: ribosomal RNA, 497 nt
Filed under: uncultured bacterium
Lineage: Bacteria
Description: partial 16S ribosomal RNA
Rfam family: Bacterial small subunit ribosomal RNA
Source: RNAcentral